UACGUAGGGUGCGAGCGUUGUCCGGAAUUAUUGGGCGUAAAGGGCUCGUAGGCGGUUUGUCGCGUCGGGGAGUGAAAACCAGGUGCUUAACACCUGGCUUGCUUUCGAUACGGGCAGACUAGAGGUAUGCAGGGGAGAACGGAAUUCCUGGUGUAGCGGUGAAAUGCGCAGAUAUCAGGAGGAACACCGGUGGCGAAGGCGGGUCUCUGGGCAGUGAACUGACGUGGAGGAGCGAAAGCGUGGGGAGCGAACAG
RNAcentral lists this ribosomal RNA (254 nucleotides) under uncultured bacterium. RNAcentral's name for it is "partial 16S ribosomal RNA". It matches the Rfam family "Bacterial small subunit ribosomal RNA", at positions 524 to 775 of the family's 1533-position model. The record is from RNAcentral.